CUUCAGGAUGGUGGUGUGACAUGGCUGGAGGAGCUGCUGGUCCAGCCACAUCGGAAUCUUGCCCUCUGCAUUCUCAAACAGACUGUUGUGUUUGGGGGCCAGCAGGAAAGAAGAGGGGCAAGCUCUCAUGUGCAACGUGGACACCUCAUUAGGAGCCAUCCAACAGGUUACAGUGAUUUGAACUUCCUCUCAUUCUUCAGCAUACAGCCGGGGUGAUGAGGGAGCUUUAUCCCUUUCAGCUAAAGACUUCAAAGUUAAUCUGCGUUAUUAAAAGCCAUAUCCUUGCAGGUAAUAAUUAUACCCCAGUGUGCAGAUAGAGGCACAGGGAAAUUGUGCGACUUCUCUCGGGAGACACAGAGAAUUGGCAGGAGAGCCAGGGGCGAUGCUGAGAGGAGAGCCCUGCCCUUAGCACAGGUCCACACAUCUUCAUAGCAAGGAGAGAUGAAAAGCAGUUGCAGUCGUUGGGUCUGACUUAACCACAUCGUUAUGGAACUGCAGCUUGUUUCCACGCAGCAUCAAAGGGAGAAAAGCUUGCCCCAAAGACAGUGCUGAACGCUGAAAAUUGUGUACUUACAGCUCAGCCUUAGGGGCUUGGGUAAAGGGACAGUGUUUAAAAGCAACCGAGGCAAACUCUUACAGUCUACAGAGUCAUUAGUAUGCCAAGUCCUGCAGGGCUUCCCGCAUCCUCUUGGACUUGAUAAAAUUAUAAAUCAACCAGCAAAAUUCCUUUUGGAACAGUCUGUGCUUCGGUCCAGGGCUGCUCGCCAGCGCCGUGCGGAGCCUCCUCCUUCCACACAGGCAAUCAUUCGAGUUAGUUCUUUUGGUUUGGAAAUGCAGCGUCAUAAUCAGGGAAGAUAUGUACCUGAUAUUGAGCUGAAACAACUCAAUUUACUGUGCACUGAUAGCUGUCAGCACUUACAACACCGUUUUCUU
Molecule: long non-coding RNA, 933 nt
Organism: Numida meleagris (helmeted guineafowl)
Lineage: Eukaryota; Metazoa; Chordata; Aves; Galliformes; Numididae
Exons: 3
Source: RefSeq, a predicted model, not a curated record